UACGUAGGGGGCAAGCGUUGUCCGGAAUCAUUGGGCGUAAAGCGCAUGUAGGCGGCCUGGCAGGUCUGGUGUGAAAGCCCGGGGCUCAACCCCGGAGGGUCACUGGAAACCGACAGUCUUGAGUCCGGAAGAGGAGAGUGGAAUUCCUGGUGUAGCGGUGGAAUGCGCAGAUAUCAGGAGGAACACCUAUGGCGAAGGCAGCUCUCUGGUACGUGACUGACGCUGAGACACGAAAGCGUGGGGAGCGAACAGG
RNAcentral lists this ribosomal RNA (253 nucleotides) under uncultured bacterium. RNAcentral describes it as "partial 16S ribosomal RNA". It matches the Rfam family "Bacterial small subunit ribosomal RNA", at positions 524 to 776 of the family's 1533-position model. The record is from RNAcentral.